Molecule: ribosomal RNA, 437 nt
Filed under: Buenoa confusa
Lineage: Eukaryota; Metazoa; Arthropoda; Insecta; Hemiptera; Notonectidae
Description: partial 16S ribosomal RNA
Source: RNAcentral
GUCCUUUUGUUAUUUAUUUAAGGUCUAACCUGCCCUAUGAAUUAGUUUUAAAUGGCCGCGGUAUUUUGACCGUGCAAAGGUAGCAUAAUCAUUUGUCUUUUAAUUGAAGGCUAGUAUGAAUGGUUGGACGAGAAGUUUGCUUUCUUUAUUAUAAAAUUUGAAUUUAAUUUUUAAGUUAAAAAGCUUAAAUAUUUUUAUAGGACGAGAAGACCCUAUAGAACUUUAUUUAUUUUGUAUAUUAUGGAUUUUAGUUUAUAUUAUAAAUAAUUUAUGCAAUAAAUUUUGUUGGGGUGACAUGGAAAUUUCUUUAACUUUCUAUUAUUUAAUUUCAUUAAUUUAUGUUUUAUUGAUCCAAUAUUUUUGAUUAAAGAUUAAGUUACCUUAGGGAUAACAGCGUAAUUCUUUUGGAGAGUUCUUAUUGAUAAAGGAGUUUGCGA